Molecule: long non-coding RNA, 330 nt
Organism: Anneissia japonica
Lineage: Eukaryota; Metazoa; Echinodermata; Crinoidea; Comatulida; Comatulidae
Exons: 3
Source: RefSeq, a predicted model, not a curated record
CUUCUCAGGAAUGGCAGAUUAACUACGGUAAACAAUAACGAAAGCCCAAUAAACAUUUCCCAGUUUACUCAUCUUUGCGGAACAAAUUUUAAGGAUAAGAAAAUAUGUGUGCAUAUUAGAUAGAUUUGUUAUAAUUUAGAAUACAGUUUUGAAGAUGGAGGAAGAGGAAGUAGUUAUUAAGAAUGAUGUUGAAGUUGGUGCUAGCUCUGCUGUGACUCUUGAAUGCCCAGAUGUAGAUGACAUCAGGCUACAGAGACUUGGUCGUACAAGAGCUGCUCUUCAGGCUUUUGAUCCUGUCCUGGCUCGCUCGGUAUUACCACCAAAUGUAAG